AGAGUUUGAUCAUGGCUCAGGAUGAACGCUGGCGGCGUGCCUAACACAUGCAAGUCGAACGCGAGAUUUUUUGCUUGCAAGAAAUCGAGAGUGGCGAACGGGUGAGUAACACGUUGGUGACCUGCCCCGAGGAGGGGGACAACUGUGGGAAACCACAGCUAAUACCCCGGAUGUUAAGGAGUUUAGACGCCCUUAACUAAAGUUACGGCGCCUCGGGAGGGGCCUGCGGGCUAUCAGCUAGUUGGUGAGGUAAGAGCUCACCAAGGCAAAGACGGCUAGGGGGCGUGAGAGCGCGACCCCCCACAAUGGAACUGAGACACGGUCCAUACUCCUACGGGAGGCAGCAGUGAGGAAUAUUGCGCAAUGGGCGAAAGCCUGACGCAGCAACGCCGCGUGGAUGAUGAAGGCCUUCGGGUUGUAAAAUCCUUUUCUGGGGGACGAUGAUGACGGUACCUCAGGAAUAAGUCCCGGCUAACUACGUGCCAGCAGCCGCGGUAAAACGUAGGGGGCGAGCGUUAUCCGGAAUUAUUGGGCGUAAAGAGCACGUAGGUGGCGUUAAAAGUUGGGCGUGAAAGCUCUCGGCUUGACUGAGAGAGGUCGUUCAAAACUAUAAUGCUUGAGGUUGAUAGAGGAGAGUAGAAUUCCCGGUGUAGUGGUGGAAUGCGUAGAUAUCGGGAGGAAUACCAGUGGCGAAAGCGGCUCUCUGGAUCACACCUGACACUGAGGUGCGAAAGCGUGGGUAGCAAACAGGAUUAGAUACCCUGGUAGUCCACGCUGUAAACGAUGGGUACUAGGUGUGGGAGGUUAUUUACCCCUUCUGUGCCGGAGCAAACGCGUUAAGUAUCCCGCCUGGGGACUACGGCCGCAAGGCUAAAACUCAAAGGAAUUGACGG
This 893-nucleotide ribosomal RNA is filed under the name uncultured bacterium. RNAcentral's name for it is "bacterial SSU rRNA". It matches the Rfam family "Bacterial small subunit ribosomal RNA", at positions 8 to 916 of the family's 1533-position model. The record is from RNAcentral.